Molecule: ribosomal RNA, 385 nt
Filed under: uncultured bacterium
Lineage: Bacteria
Description: bacterial SSU rRNA
Rfam family: Bacterial small subunit ribosomal RNA
Source: RNAcentral
CUCCAACGAGCGCAAGCCUGAUCCAGCAAUGCCGCGUGAGUGAAGAAGGCCUUCGGGUUGUAAAGCUCUUUUGUCAGGGAAGAAACGGUUCCGGCUAAUAUCUGGAGCUAAUGACGGUACCUGAAGAAUAAGCACCGGCUAACUACGUGCCAGCAGCCGCGGUAAUACGUAGGGUGCAAGCGUUAAUCGGAAUUACUGGGCGUAAAGCGUGCGCAGGCGGUUUUGUAAGUCUGUCGUGAAAGCCCCGGGCUCAACCUGGGAAUUGCGAUGGAGACUGCAAGGCUUGAAUCUGGCAGAGGGGGGUAGAAUUCCACGUGUAGCAGUGAAAUGCGUAGAGAUGUGGAGGAACACCGAUGGCGAAGGCAGCCCCCUGGGUCAAGAUUGA